This 433-nucleotide unclassified non-coding RNA is filed under the name Senecio halophilus. Its description in RNAcentral is "partial contains external transcribed spacer and 18S ribosomal RNA". The stretch from base 370 to 433 matches the Rfam family "Eukaryotic small subunit ribosomal RNA", at positions 1 to 64 of the family's 1831-position model. The record is from RNAcentral. Lineage: Eukaryota; Viridiplantae; Streptophyta; Magnoliopsida; Asterales; Asteraceae.
AACUUCCACCUGGCUUACCUCCNUCAUUUAUGCGUCAUGACUUGUAUCGUCUUGAGCGUAUUGUGGGUUUCCUGUGUUGCAUACCUUUCUAAUGGUAUCGUGUUGAUUGAUCGAAGUCCCUUUUCAUCUUGUGUUGCUUUUUGCGACGCAUGAUGAACCUCGAGGCGGUCUCUAUGUUCCACCACGUUGAUGCUACUGUUUCGAUGUUGUGGCCCAUUGAGCGUUGCUUGGUUUUGUGGAUACAGAACAUGAUUUGGGCAUAGGGUUACUUGUGACUCUUGUUCUGCCCUUUAUCAGUGUUCUUUAUAACGACGGUUCAUGCGCGCCUAGGCUCGUACCUGCGCGAUGUUCUUUGUCGAAGAGGAAUGCUACCUGGUUGAUCCUGCCAGUAGUCAUAUGCUUGUCUCAAAGAUUAAGCCAUGCAUGUGUAAGU